CCGCUCCUGUUUCCUUCCUCCAUGAUCUUACCGUACCCAAAACAGUCGCCACAGCGAUCAUGGCAGCUUGUUGCAAUUACUGUCAUACCAACCGUACCGGAAAGGAUAUAGGGCGAAAUUUCCACAGGUUUCCUGUCAUGGGGACCACCCGGAGGGUUGUCUGCAGUGCUUGGUGCAGACUGAUACGAUCGAGGUUCAUCAAGCAUCACGUUCCUCACCCACGGGUUCUUACUUCACGGGGAGGAACCACCCCAGUGCAUGCCUCUGAGCAGUUCCAUCACAGCUGCCUCGACAUACUCAGAAAAUGGAUGCAGAACCUGCGCAGUGCCCACAAACUUCGAUUACUACGGCACCUCCAAAAGUAAAAGCAUAUGCGUCACAUGAGAUUUUU
Ornithodoros turicata is the source of this 391-nucleotide long non-coding RNA. RefSeq lists it as uncharacterized. Lineage: Eukaryota; Metazoa; Arthropoda; Arachnida; Ixodida; Argasidae. The transcript is spliced from 3 exons. The record is from RefSeq and is a predicted model, not a curated record.